AGAAUGUCACGUGUUCGGUUAUGGACUCGGUUGGCAAGUCGGUUGCGAGUGCGAGAAAGCGAUUGUCCGAGUAUUCGGUCGUUCUGACGGCGUGUGCUGCAGAAGCUGCUGCUUAUGGUCGCUGUAUCUCUGGUAACGCGAAUGUGGUAAAAGACAGUUGCCUAGCGGAAUUUCAAGCUCUUAAACAAUGUGCAACAAAAGUAUUGAAGCGAAGAUUAUAACGACAACGAUUCUGAAAAACGAUGCACAUUACGUAGUGAAAACACAGUCGACUGUUCUUGAUGUAUCACAUCAGGUUGUAAUCUACCAAUCUGUACAUGAUCGUAAAUAAAACUCAAU
This is a long non-coding RNA of Corticium candelabrum, 339 nucleotides long. RefSeq lists it as uncharacterized. The transcript has 3 exons. The record is from RefSeq and is a predicted model, not a curated record. NCBI's taxonomy places the organism in Eukaryota, Metazoa, Porifera, Homoscleromorpha, Homosclerophorida, Plakinidae.